RNAcentral lists this ribosomal RNA (414 nucleotides) under Triticum aestivum (bread wheat). RNAcentral describes it as "partial small subunit ribosomal RNA". The record is from RNAcentral. Lineage: Eukaryota; Viridiplantae; Streptophyta; Magnoliopsida; Poales; Poaceae.
AUGGAGGCGGUGGAUGGACGGAGCUCGCUAGGACUAUGCCUGUCGUCUUCUUCAUCAAGCUGGCGCCAUGGAGGACAAAGGCAUGGAGGCUCGCGAGGAUGCCGCUUUUGUGUCGCGGUGGAUCGCGACAUGGAGCUUGCCAGGACGAUGCCCAUCAUCUUCUUCAUCAAGCUGGCGCUAUGGAGGACGAAGGCGUGGAGGCUCGCGAGGAUGCCGCUUUUGUGUCGCGGUGGAUCGCGACAUGGAGCUUGCCAGGACGACGCCAAUGUCAACUUCAUCAAGCCGGCGCCAUGGAGGACGAAGGCGUGGAGGCUCGCGAGGAUGCCGCCGACGUGCCACGGUGGAUGGCGCCACGGAGUUCGCCAAGAUGACAUCAAUGUCCAUAUCAUCAACCCGGCGCCGCAAGGAUCAUGA